This 2009-nucleotide long non-coding RNA is filed under the name Vitis vinifera (wine grape). Its description in RNAcentral is "long non-coding RNA (VVIN_LNC004550)". Lineage: Eukaryota; Viridiplantae; Streptophyta; Magnoliopsida; Vitales; Vitaceae. The record is from RNAcentral.
UUUAUUUUCCUCCAAUAAUUUGAUUGAUAACAAUGUUAAAAGGAAAAUUAAAAUCAUAAGAAUUAAAAAGAGAAGGAUUCUGAGAGAUAAACUGACCCUUUCAUCAAAGAGCACCGGGAAGGGGGUAUCAAGGUCUGCAUGGUGAAGCCUUUGGAGGGAAUGAUAUCCAGGGGAGACGAAGCUUGUGAGGUUGGGCAAAGAUUCCAGUGAAAUAUGGAAUAAUUUAGGGAGCUCAACAUGCCCAUCAUCAACAUUUAGCUCUUCAAGAUCCACAUUCACAUUUGUCCCUUCCACAUCAAAAACCGCUUCUAAUGAACUACAAUUCUCUACCACCAGACUCUGUAACCUUUUCAGCAUACAAGAUGGAAAAAUAUUCAACAAUUCUCCACAUAAGAAUACUCUCACAACUUCUAGUUUGGAGAAGGAAUCUUGAGGAAUUUGGUUGGGCCAUAUUUUUUUCACAUUAUCCAGUCCCUCGAUAUAUAAGAAAUCCAAGCUAGGAAAUGCAACCUGCAGAGUUCAUCCCACCAUUUUGUUAUUUAUAUAUUUUGACUAACUGAAAAAAGAAAAUAAUCCAUGUGUAGGAAAACACAAUAAACUACAUCUUAAAGAAGGGUGGAGGAAAAUGUACAUGCUUAAACAAGUUGAAUUUCAUUGUCUAAAACUAUAAGAAUUUGUAAGGAAAAAAUCAGUCAAGAAAUAGCACAGUUUCCAUGGAAUUCAUUUUAACACAACUCUCAUACAUUUGAAAUGUUCCAAAAGAGUCGUCUGUUUGGUUUUUUUUUUUUUUCCAUUUUUUAUUUAAUUGUUAAAGCAAAUUACUUUAAACCUUAAAUGUUUUGAUUGAUUUUUAUCUAAUCGUCUUAAAAAAAAUUAAACCACCACAAUCUCGUGUAAUUUGGAUGAGAGUGAAUUCAUUAUAAAUUACAAAAACUUAUUAUAAAAAAAUACUACUUAAAUACUUUUUAUUUGUCUAUAAAAAAUUCCUUUAUCUAGAUAAUAAAUUAAUAAAAAAUAAAUCCAUAAAAUUCUAUACAUUUAUCACACAACAAAAUAAAAAUAAACUACCACUAAUUCUUAUAUAUAUUUCUUAAUUAAAAAAGAACCCAAAACAUAAUUUACAUUCAUCUAAAUAUUCAUUAGAGUAAAUAAUUCCAUAAAUUUUGUAAAUCAAAAAAUAGAAUUUGAUAUUCUUUCCCAAAUUAAAAAUAUAAAAGUUAGUGAAUUAAUUUCAAUAAUCAAACAUAUACUUCAAUUAUAAAACCAUUAUGCAAAGAUAUGUACACUGUAUAGAAUUGUUAACUUAGAAAAUUUUCUAGCAUUUUUUUACUAAUGAAGUAUAAUUAGAAAUUAUUUUAUUAUUCCAAUACAAAUUUUCAUAAUAAUUAUAUAAUUAAUUAUUAUAAAACUUUUAUAAUAUUAAUAAUUCAAAUAUUUUAGGAUAUUUGAAUAUUAUUUUUUCAAAUUAGAGUAAGAAGAAAUAUCAUAAUUAAUUUUACAAAUAUUUUAAUAUAUACAAACUACAUUCAACGUCCACCAUUCAAACCUGAAUAAAAACAAAUAAAUCAAACAUUUAAUUAUAUUAAACUCUAUUAUUAACCGUUAAGUUAAAUUUAGGCGAAAAAUGAAAAUAAAAAAAGAGAAACAAGAACCAGCUCAAUCUAAAUUUUCUUUAUUUUCCUCCAAUAAUUUGAUUGAUAACAAUGUUAAAAGGAAAAUUAAAAUCAUAAGAAUUAAAAAGAGAAGGAUUCUGAGAGAUAAACUGACCUUUUCAUCAAAGAGCACCGGGAAGGGGGUAUCAAGGUCUGCAUGGUGAAGCCUUUGGAGGGAAUGAUAUCCAGGGGAGACGAAGCUUGUGAGGUUGGGCAAAGAUUCCAGUGUAAUAUCGCUUAAUUUAGGGAAUAUGAUAUUGCCUACAGGAGCAGAAGCCAUGGAAGAAGGGAAAUGAUUUCUGGAGCUGUCACAGUUGCAUAUAUGCCUCAACUUUGGUAGACCAGACAACAUCAGUU